UUCUGUUGUCCUUCAUUCCACCGGAGUCUGUCUCAUACCUAAUCAGAUUUCAGUGGAGUGAAGCACAAGAGACA
Non-coding RNA from Chelonia mydas (Green sea turtle), 74 nucleotides. The record is from Rfam. Lineage: Eukaryota; Metazoa; Chordata; Testudines; Cheloniidae.